Non-coding RNA from Candidatus Saccharibacteria bacterium CG2_30_41_52, 131 nucleotides. The record is from Rfam. NCBI's taxonomy places the organism in Bacteria, Candidatus Saccharimonadota.
CUACGCCAAGACAAAUACCCAAAGACAGUAGCCGUGGAAACACUUAAUUCGCUACCGAGGAUUAUGUAUCACUACAUUUUUCGAUUAAAGUCUUUGGCAGUGCGAGUUCCAAAGACUUUUUCUUUGUAAAG